Molecule: long non-coding RNA, 249 nt
Filed under: Lupinus angustifolius (narrow-leaved blue lupine)
Lineage: Eukaryota; Viridiplantae; Streptophyta; Magnoliopsida; Fabales; Fabaceae
Description: long non-coding RNA (LANG_LNC003763)
Source: RNAcentral
CUCAUUUUCCUCCUUCUCUAUCACCACCAAACCCCAUAACUCCCCAUAACACUUUCCUUUAUCCAUAUACAUAUAUGAACGAACAGAGAAAAUAGUUUCAACAAAUAGUGGUUGACAAUAACUUCAUUUAGAUCUUAGAAAGAUUCUUUUACAGCCUAGCUUUGGUGAGCUUCCUCAAUGGCCAUAACUCCCUCCCCAUAACUCCCAUUUUCACCCUAUCCUUUUCAUCACCAAACCUAAAUUCUAAAC